AGCCUGUCCUAUAGUUUAUGACUUUCUGACUAUCAGCACUUCCACACAUAACGGGUUAAAGCAACAAAACCGCCAAGAUGCAGUUUCACAGUGUGGUGUUUUCAGAGUGUCUUCCAGCUGCCAGCGCUCAGCUUUCAAUUGCUUUUUUGGCACUUAACAACCAGCUCACACAGUCAGUCAGUUGGGGCUGUAUUUGUGUGUCUGUCUUAGCUUCACUGUGGCACUUUCUGCAGGACUGGAGCACAUACUGUUUCGUUCUUGCAGUCAAGUUCUUGUGCUGGCUGGGCUCAGCAGCAAUCUCCAGCAUAUCACACCUGCUGAAUGGGAAGGGGGACUUCCUCUCCCUGUGGAGCUCUCACUGCUUGCCGACCAGAUCGCCAAAACUCACACGAUGGAGGAGAAACCACACUGUGGCUCACGCAGUCCCAUUUCCUGGUGGUCUGGCUGCAAAGGGCUCCACGCGCCUGGGCUCCCCGCUUUUCCUCAGGGGAACAGCUCCAGGGCCGAAUGCCUCCAUCCAGGACUCCCAUCCCUUCAGAGGCUGGUGUCGGCAGUGUCCGCUUUGGCCUGCAAGGUGGCCUCAGAGAUGGUGUCUGGUUGCCCAUCCCGACAGAAGAGUACAGCAGGGUUCUUGCAGGCCCACAUGGCCACCUCUCCCCCACUCGCUGGGCUGGAGGAGGACGGGGCGCUGCCCGGGGGGCCACUGUGCCGAUUGACGUAGCGCUCCCGGACACGGUCAGCCCGGCUCCAGGGCUCCGGCUGGCGGCCCGGGACCGAGAGGUAGGCCGCCACAUUGUUUCUAGUCCGGUAGCCGCCCUCACGGCUUCGCCGCAGCAGCACGGAGAUGUUGGGGUUGCGGGCAGCGUAGAUCAGAGGGUUGAUGGCGCCGUUGGCCCAGGCCAUCCCGCUGGCCACGGCAUCCAUGGUGGGCGAGAAGGGCAGGCGGCCGGCGGCAGCAGCCAGCCCCAGGAUGCAGUAGGGCCCCCAGCAGCAGAUGAUGGAGACAAUCAUGAUGAGGACAGUGGUGGCCGUGCGCAUCUCCCCGUAGGCCCGCAGCAGGUGCCCGUAGGUGGUGAGGGGCCGCACGCGGCUCUCGGCCAGCCGCACGGCCCGGCAGAUGUUGUAGUGGCAGAAGCACAUGAGGGCGAAGGGCAGGAGGUAGCAGAGCACGAUGAGGGCCGCGCCGUAGGGCGGCCCCAGCCGGGACGAGCCCCAGGGCAGCACGUAGACACAGCGGUAGGCCCCGGGCCGGGCCUCCCGCUGCCCCUCGCCCGCCAGCCCGUACCAGGGUCCGGCCAGGGCCAGGGCGGCCAGCCAGNNNNNNNNNNNNNNNNNNNNNNNNNNNNNNNNNNNNNNNNNNNNNNNNNNGAGUGCGCCCCCCUUCACCCC
This 1389-nucleotide long non-coding RNA is filed under the name Athene cunicularia (burrowing owl). RNAcentral's name for it is "lncRNA (ENSACUG00000003247.1)". The record is from RNAcentral. Lineage: Eukaryota; Metazoa; Chordata; Aves; Strigiformes; Strigidae.